UCAGGUAGGAAUACCCGCUGAACUUAAGCAUAUCAAU
This 37-nucleotide ribosomal RNA is filed under the name Sarcinomyces sp. SL-2011. RNAcentral's name for it is "partial 28S ribosomal RNA". Lineage: Eukaryota; Fungi; Ascomycota; Eurotiomycetes; Chaetothyriales. The record is from RNAcentral. RNAcentral also lists the same sequence under 1 other name.